Molecule: ribosomal RNA, 497 nt
Filed under: uncultured bacterium
Lineage: Bacteria
Description: partial 16S ribosomal RNA
Rfam family: Bacterial small subunit ribosomal RNA
Source: RNAcentral
GAUGAACGCUGGCGGCGUGCCUAAUACAUGCAAGUCGAGCGAACAGACGAGGAGCUUGCUCCUCUGACGUUAGCGGCGGACGGGUGAGUAACACGUGGAUAACCUACCUAUAAGACUGGGAUAACUUCGGGAAACCGGAGCUAAUACCGGAUAAUAUAUUGAACCGCAUGGUUCAAUAGUGAAAGACGGUUUUGCUGUCACUUAUCGAUGGAUCCGCGCCGCAUUAGCUAGUUGGUAAGGUAACGGCUUACCAAGGCAACGAUGCGUAGCCGACCUGAGAGGGUGAUCGGCCACACUGGAACUGAGACACGGUCCAGACUCCUACGGGAGGCAGCAGUAGGGAAUCGUCCGCAAUGGGCGAAAGCCUGACGGAGCAACGCCGCGUGAGUGAUGAAGGUCUUCGGAUCGUAAAACUCUGUUAUUAGGGAAGAACAAAUGUGUAAGUAACUAUGCACGUCUUGACGGUACCUAAUCAGAAAGCCACGGCUAACUACGUG